This 293-nucleotide ribosomal RNA is filed under the name uncultured eukaryote. RNAcentral's name for it is "partial 18S ribosomal RNA". It matches the Rfam family "Eukaryotic small subunit ribosomal RNA", at positions 6 to 297 of the family's 1831-position model. The record is from RNAcentral.
GGUUGAUCCUGCCAGUAGUCAUAUGCUUGUCUCAAAGAUUAAGCCAUGCAAGUCUAAGUAUAUAUGAAUUUGUACUGUGAAACUGCGAAUGGCUCAUUAAAUCAGUUAUAGUUUAUUUGAUAGUUACCUUACCGUGGAUAUCCGUGGUAAUUCUAGAGCUAAUACAUGCAACAAAGUCCCGACUUUUUUGGAAGGGAUGUAUUUAUUAGAUAAAAAACCAACCCGGGCAACCGGUUUUUGGAUGAUUCAUAAUAACUUCUCGAAUCGUAUGACCUUGCGUCGACGAUGGUUCA